CUUCGGCGGGCGGCCCGGGUCCGCCCGGUGCCCCCUGGCCCCCUAGCGGGGCGCCCGCCGGAGGAAACCCAACUCUUGAUUAUUAUGGCCUCUCUGAGUCUUCUGUACUGAAUAAGUCAAAACUUUCAACAACGGAUCUCUUGGUUCUGGCAUCGAUGAAGAACGCAGCGAAAUGCGAUAAGUAAUGUGAAUUGCAGAAUUCAGUGAAUCAUCGAAUCUUUGAACGCACAUUGCGCCCGCCAGUAUUCUGGCGGGCAUGCCUGUUCGAGCGUCAUUUCAACCAUCAAGCCCCAGGCUUGUGUUGGGGACCUGCGGCUGCCGCAGGCCCUGAAAACCAGUGGCGGGCUCGCUGUCACACCGGGCGUAGUAGAUUUUAUCUCGCUCAGGGCGUGCUGCGGGUUCCGGCCGUUAAAAGCCUUUUUUACCCAAGGUUGACCUCGGAUCAGGUAGGAAUACCCGCUGAACUUAAGCAUAUCAAUAAGCGGAGGAAAA
The sequence is a ribosomal RNA, 492 nucleotides long. The stretch from base 121 to 274 matches the Rfam family "5.8S ribosomal RNA".